UGUAAUAACUAAACGAGCUGGUGCUGAGGGCACACACGACAGAGAUAGCAGCUUUUUGUGUGAUGCUUUUUCAUCGUGCGGACAGGGAGCCACGGUGAUUGAAUCUCACUGAGCCGUUACACAAAAACCUCCUCACUUUAACGUCCAUUGUGUAGACGGCUGCAGCAGCUCAGGGCGCCUGUCAGAGCAGGAAAUCAAGUCAGCUGAAGGCAGGCAGAAUGCCCUGAAAAAUCAUUGUUAUUGCAGACAACCUUAGCUGUAACCCUCAACAUGUUUUAGUAAAAGAUCUUUGACUUCAUGUGGAGCGUUUGGAAGAUGUGCUGUUUACCUUGUGUAAAGGUAAACAGAUCAGAGAACCUGAGGCUCAGUCAGCAGGCUAAAAACUUUCUCAUUACUGGGAUUAUCACAAGCUGCCAUCAUAAAAAGGUCGUGGCUGUCUGGUGGACGAGAGUCUCUGUGUAACACUGCAGCUGAAGCUUACUUUGGAAAAGGAAAUAAACUGAGUGUUUUAGGUGAGUGGAAGAUGAUUCUAAUAGGAUAAAAUAAUUACCUAUGAGUGUUGUUGUUGUUUAUAGAUCAUAGAUUAUUCACAGUAGAUGUCCAGCUCGCUUCUUUAUGUUAUUAAGAUGGCGCGCUGUGCCAAUAACGAAGCUCAUUUUGGCCAGGGAACAAAACUGACUGUUCUGGGUGUGUAAGACUUUAAAUGUAAACAUAACCAGCUGAAGACAGCUAGAGGGUACAGAAGGGAAGUUAAAGUAACACCUUUAGUGUAGAAAUCCUUCUAACUAAACCAGGUCUGUAACAAAUUCAGCUGUCUGGUGUCAGAACCCAGAUCCUUUUAGUCCAAGAACCAAACCCACUGUAAAUAAAAAGCAGCUGAUGGCUGUUUUCAGCACUGAUCAUGUCCAGUGUGAGUGGUGAGCCAUACUUUGGUGACUGAACCAAAUGAACCUUUUAAAUGUCGUAAAGCAGGGUGGGGAACUCUGGUCCUUGAAGACCAGCAGGUCUUGGUUGUUCCUCUGCUCCAACACUCCUGAUUCCUCGGUUGAUUCACCCGUUCAGCAGCUCAUCGAGCUCUGCAGAAGGACUGCUAAUAUCAGGAGAGGGAGAACGUUUAAUGGAUGGCGGUAGAUUCAGAAGGUUAGAGGUGACGUUCUUACUUUACAGUUGGUGAUAAAGCUGUAGUAUUUUUCGAGCACGAGACAGAGAGAUUUUGCUCCAGUCUGGCGUCUCUGUACUCCAACAAUGAGGCUCACUUUGGAGCUGGAACCAAACUCACUGUUUUAGGUUAGAAAACUUCUAACAAACUCAGAUCAAGCUCACUCUCAGGUCAGAGAAUAUUAGACAUCUGAUAUCCACCCUGAGACUGGGGGAUCGUGGGUUCAAAUCCACCGUUGGGUCAUACCAAAGACUUUUAAAAAUGGGACCCAAUCCAUCCCUGCAGGACAGUCAGCAUUAAGGGGUUCGUAUGAGGGCUGAAUAGUAGCCGUGUCUGUAGCUCACCACUGGCCCAGGUGAUGGGAGAACAGAUUUCACCAGUGUGUGACGACUAAUAAGACUUCAACUUGAACAAAGUCAGUCAAGUUAUAAUGAAAAAGUUCAUUUCAGCAUUUAUUUGUGCCAGGAAAUGAAAGUUGUUUCUGUGCAGAAGGAUUGGCUCAUCACCCGGAUCACUGUCAGUUCUAAUCAGCUCUGUGAACGACUUUGAGUCACCAGUCAGAAGCUUAUUGGAGGUGGAACUAAACUCACAGUUUUAGGGAAGAAAGUUCAACAUUUGCAAGAAUUACUGGACGGAAAUGAGAAAAGACAUUUAUCUUUUUAGAAUUAGAAAACAGCACAAACAAAUUCUGUCAAAGCUUUAUUUCAGUGUGAUUUUACAAACAGAGUUUGUUUAGUUUGUCUGUAAAACAUCUGAAAAACACAGAAAGCAUUCAGAGCUGAAAGUCUGAGGUGUUUGUGGUGCAGAUGUUUGUCAGUGUGAACUAUGAUCCUUACGCUGCAGCUGGAACUAAACUCACAGUUACAGGUGAGUGUUUCUAACGUUUGUAAGGAUGUGAUGCAAAUGCAGGUUUGAUGAGAACAUUGUUUGGAGAAAUAUAUAUAUAUAUAUAUAAAAUAACAAACGCCAGUAUAAUAAAUAAUUAGAUUUUAAUUCAAUAAAACCCAUCUCUUCUGACACACACACGCACACUCACGUACGCACACAUGCACACACACACGUUUAAUGAGCAUAGUGACUUUGAUCAUGAAAGAAACUUUCAUCUAACUUUUUUUCUCUCCUCUUUCAGAACCAGGCCUUGAGGUCACAGAACCAUCUGUCGAAGUUCUCAAACCUUCAGCUAAAGAGUGCAAAGACAAAAACAAGAAAAGGAAGAAGACUCUGGUUUGUGUUGCCUCUCAAUUCUACCCAGAUCACGUCAGCAUGUCCUGGAGGCUUAAUGGGGUCCAAACAGAUAAAGGUGUGGUGACAGGAAGAGCGAUCAGACGGCCUGAUAAGUCCUACGGCAUCACCAGCAGGCUGAAGGUCCAGGCUAAGGACUGGUUCAGACCUGGAAAUAAUUUCACCUGCAUGGUCGGCUUCUACAAUGGAAACAAAACCACCUUUCAUUCUGGUUCAGUUAUUUCAACUGACAGAGAUAACGGCAUGACUCGAGAUAAAUACCUGAGGAUCACUCAGAACGCCAAACUCUCCUACGUCGUUUUGAUUGUGAAGAGUAGCAUCUACGGCGCCGCUGUUUGCCUUCUGGUGUGGAAGCUUCAGAGUUCAGCUGGAGAGCAGAACAAGUGAGAUUUGAGCUGAAGUCUGGACAAACCAACAAGCUUCAGGAGUUGCAUCUUUGUUUAUGUACAUAAAAUCUAGAAAACAUAACAUCAAGUUUGUGUUUUUGAGAAUUUGGCUGAUUAAACCCUUCAGAUCUUAUGAACCUGUGUUUUAUUCUUAAAUAAACUGAUACGUUUCCAUUACUGACUUUGUGAUCAAAAAUAACUCUUUAGCAUGGUGCAGUUCAGAGCAGGUACUGCUACUACGGAAGCCCACACGCAUCAAAAGGCCUGAUGUCAUCAAAGACAGGCGUGUUCUUUAUGAAUAAAAUAAGCUUGAUAGUAUAAUCAUUUGCCAAUCUCUUAUGCCUAACCCACAAUCAAUUAUCUUAGCAAUUUAAGCAGUUAGUAAACAUUUUAAAUUAUGACUGUUAUGGUAACUUACCAGUCCAGAAGGAAGCAGGCAGGUUCUCUCAGGCCG
Non-coding RNA from Nothobranchius furzeri (turquoise killifish), 3241 nucleotides. NCBI's taxonomy places the organism in Eukaryota, Metazoa, Chordata, Actinopteri, Cyprinodontiformes, Nothobranchiidae. The record is from the annotation of a RefSeq genome assembly.